ACAGCAAAAAAAUAGAUCUGUAGAUCCGCCUCGUUGGCCAGGAGGUUACAUUGGGAUGGUGUCUUUCUUUCUUUCUUUCUUCCUUUCUUCCCUUGCACUGAAGCCUUGUCACUAAGAUGUCCAUUGAACAACAAAUUCAGACGCAACUCUCGAGACGCAACGCAAACGAGGAUAGACUUCCUUGACUCCUCCUUCUUCACCUUCAAACAACUUUCACUGAGAAGAUGUCUCAGAAGUGUAUGGAUGGAGAGCUUAUCAAAAUUGUGUGUUCAUUUAUAUGGAGCUUGUUCUGGGAGACAUGGCUAUAUGAUUGAUGAGAAAUGAGCGGGAUGGAAACUUCAUUUGUGAUCAGCUAAGGAAGAUUGUUUCUUUGUUUCGGCAAAUUGAGCCAGAUCCCAGUGACUCUUUUAUCAGGAUGCAUGUAUUCCACAAUGUCUAUCAGUUGAGUUUUUGUAUUAAGUAACUAUA
RNAcentral lists this small RNA (468 nucleotides) under Histoplasma capsulatum. Its description in RNAcentral is "hypothetical RNA". Lineage: Eukaryota; Fungi; Ascomycota; Eurotiomycetes; Onygenales; Ajellomycetaceae. RNAcentral also lists the same sequence under 1 other name. The record is from RNAcentral.